GCAAUCAUGGCCUAAUGGUUAGCGAGUCGGCCUUGUAACCCUAAGGUCAUGGGAUCGAGUCUCAGGGAUUGUA
Molecule: non-coding RNA, 73 nt
Organism: Pangasius djambal
Lineage: Eukaryota; Metazoa; Chordata; Actinopteri; Siluriformes; Pangasiidae
Source: the annotation of a GenBank genome assembly